Molecule: ribosomal RNA, 253 nt
Filed under: uncultured bacterium
Lineage: Bacteria
Description: partial 16S ribosomal RNA
Rfam family: Bacterial small subunit ribosomal RNA
Source: RNAcentral
UACAGAGGGGGCAAGCGUUGUUCGGAAUUACUGGGCGUAAAGGGCGCGUAGGCGGCCUGCUAAGUCGGACGUGAAAUCCCUCGGCUCAACCGGGGAACUGCGUCCGAUACUGGUGGGCUCGAAUCCGGGAGAGGGAUGUGGAAUUCCAGGUGUAGCGGUGAAAUGCGUAGAUAUCUGGAGGAACACCGGUGGCGAAGGCGGCAUCCUGGACCGGUAUUGACGCUGAUGCGCGAAAGCCAGGGGAGCAAACGGG